ACCAAUUAUAUGUAAAAAUAUAACUACUUGCUCCCUAAUAUCGACAGAUUUAGACGAUUGUAACAAAUUAUUCGUACUAAGAAUAUCACAUAAAUUAAAAAAGGCGAUUGGUCUCAUCCUUAUUAUAUCAAUGCAAUGCUGGUCACCACUAUAUAAAAUACUAUUAAUAUAGUUUUCUCUUUCAUAAUCUCGAUUCACACGAGGGCGAGAAGCAAUUUCCUUCCAAGUUUCUAAUUUUUUAAUCCAAAGAGCCCCAAAAGCUAAAACUGAAGCCACG
This 277-nucleotide long non-coding RNA is filed under the name Gossypium barbadense (sea-island cotton). RNAcentral's name for it is "long non-coding RNA (GBAR_LNC022661)". The record is from RNAcentral. Lineage: Eukaryota; Viridiplantae; Streptophyta; Magnoliopsida; Malvales; Malvaceae.